AGAGUUUGAUCCUGGCUCAGAUUGAACGCUGGCGGCAUGCUUUACACAUGCAAGUCGAACGGCAGCGCGGGGCAACCUGGCGGCGAGUGGCGAACGGGUGAGUAAUAUAUCGGAACGUACCCAAGAGUGGGGGAUAACGUAGCGAAAGUUACGCUAAUACCGCAUACGAUCUAAGGAUGAAAGCAGGGGAUCUUCGGACCUUGUGCUCCUGGAGCGGCCGAUAUCUGAUUAGCUAGUUGGUGAGGUAAAGGCUCACCAAGGCCACGAUCAGUAGCUGGUCUGAGAGGACGACCAGCCACACUGGAACUGAGACACGGUCCAGACUCCUACGGGAGGCAGCAGUGGGGAAUUUUGGACAAUGGGCGAAAGCCUGAUCCAGCAAUGCCGCGUGAGUGAAGAAGGCCUUCGGGUUGUAAAGCUCUUUUGUCAGGGAAGAAACGGUGAGGGCUAAUAUCCUUCGCUAAUGACGGUACCUGAAGAAUAAGCACCGGCUAACUACGUGCCAGCAGCCGCGGUAAU
This 519-nucleotide ribosomal RNA is filed under the name uncultured bacterium. RNAcentral describes it as "bacterial SSU rRNA". It matches the Rfam family "Bacterial small subunit ribosomal RNA", at positions 8 to 524 of the family's 1533-position model. The record is from RNAcentral.